GCCCUUGCAGCCCCUGCGCGCGCCGCCUAUAUUCGCCCUGUCCGGGGCAACCCGGACUAUGGUGAUAAACGCACCUGUAAUAAACGGCUCGGACCCGGGGGCGGUACCCGGCGGCUCCACCAUCACACCCGGCAUUGCGGGGGCGAGGGGCCGAAACAGGAUCGACGAACGUCUAAAGAGGCCAGCUUUCACCCGGUAGGCACCACCGUUAUCGGACCACAAGUGUAGUUGCCAAUGACAACCGCGCUCCGGUGGCUCUGGCUGCGUAAGCAGCUCGAACGCCGAAACUUAAGCCCUUGCGCUUAGCCGCGUAAGGCGGGGUUCGCAGGUACCUGGCAACAGAAACCUGCACC
Molecule: transfer-messenger RNA, 353 nt
Filed under: Paracoccaceae bacterium
Lineage: Bacteria; Pseudomonadati; Pseudomonadota; Alphaproteobacteria; Rhodobacterales; Paracoccaceae
Also listed under: 1 other name
Description: Rhodobacteraceae bacterium (bioreactor metagenome) transfer-messenger RNA
Rfam family: Alphaproteobacteria transfer-messenger RNA
About the family: Bacterial tmRNA, also known as 10Sa RNA or SsrA, is named for its dual tRNA and mRNA-like properties. Its role is to liberate the mRNA from a stalled ribosome.
Source: RNAcentral